UUGUGGUUGAUUAGACUUCAGGUCAGAUUGAUGUUCAGUGGAGCCCUAACAGACAAAAUAUCUGCCAAUAACGACAGGGUAAGUUGUCUAAGGUCUAAUUACGCAACUUACGUGAAAAUACGUGUGUGGGUGUAAUAGAGAAAUGAACACUUACUCAGUUCACUCAAGCUGACUGGUUACAAAAUGGCUGUAAUGACUGUACGGUGUCAGUCCUGAUCUCAGUUGUUAUCACUCAUGGUUAUUAUUCUGUUUUUACAACCAAACAAGAAGACGAUCGAUCGACUCUCAUCACAUAGGACACUGGAAUAAACAGUGGAGGAUAAAGAGUCUGUGGACUGGGUGUACACCGAUCUUUCAUUGUGAAAUUCACACAGAGCAUCUGAAUACAAAUUAAUUAUGCCCAGGGUAUAGCAAUAGAAGGCAUUUGAAUCACAUAUAAUAGGAUUCAGUAUUAUAUUAUUGCAAAAUAACUAAUGAACACAAAUAAGAAGGAGCAUUUAAUACAUGUAGAACUGGGUUUAUUUAUAUGUAACUUAAGCUAGUAAAUGAUACCUUCACAUAUUUGCAACCUGUAAAUAAUUAAAAACUGCUCCAUAACAUGUUAUUUUUUGGUUUUAACUUCACAAUCAAUUUAGCGUAAUAAUGAUGUAAAUCUUAAGACGCUGAACUUUUAGAGCCCAGGCCAAGAUCUUCCUCUCAAUGAUUUUAGCCCGGGACACGUAAUCAGCGACAUCACCUCUCAGGAAAAAUGGAUAAUCUAAAGUGUCAGAACGUCAUAGCAGAGAUUUGUCUAACCAGACUAGUGCUCAUAUAAUAAACAGGGUUCAGCCGACUGUCCUUCACCGCUGUCAUCACCCUUCAUGGACUCCGCACACAUCGAGGACACACAACUGCACACAUAUCGGUUCACCUUAAUUCUUUUCAACGCAUUACAGAGGGAGUAAUAGCUCAAUGUCAGAGCGCCUUGAUGGCUAUGAAUGAUGAUGGUGGUGGUUCACCUCCAUCCACUGUGUCAUGCGUUCUUCCAGGAUGUAUUUCUGAUAGCUCAAUCUGAACUGAGCAUGAAACUAUGCUUUCUUCCUACUAUCACAAUCACUCUGCCACCUUAAGAAUUUUAUUCAAAUGUCAAGAACCUUCACUUGUGAUUUAUUAAAAGUCAUGUAGUUAAAAUGCAA
Molecule: long non-coding RNA, 1175 nt
Organism: Micropterus salmoides (largemouth bass)
Lineage: Eukaryota; Metazoa; Chordata; Actinopteri; Centrarchiformes; Centrarchidae
Exons: 2
Source: RefSeq, a predicted model, not a curated record